This 54-nucleotide transfer RNA is filed under the name Lycosa singoriensis. Its description in RNAcentral is "tRNA-Ser". The record is from RNAcentral. Lineage: Eukaryota; Metazoa; Arthropoda; Arachnida; Araneae; Lycosidae.
GGCUUUAGUUUAACUGUUUUGAAAGCAGUUAAUAAGAAUUUUUCUUUAAAGUCU